GCUGAGGUGCCGGAGCGGUCAAUCGGAGCAGACUGUAAAUCUGCCGCCCGACAGGGCUACGUAGGUUCAAAUCCUACCCUCAGCA
RNAcentral lists this transfer RNA (85 nucleotides) under candidate division CPR3 bacterium GWF2_35_18. RNAcentral's name for it is "tRNA-Tyr". It matches the Rfam family "tRNA". Rfam says of the family: Transfer RNA (tRNA) molecules are approximately 80 nucleotides in length. Their secondary structure includes four short double-helical elements and three loops (D, anti-codon, and T loops). Lineage: Bacteria; candidate division CPR3. The record is from RNAcentral. RNAcentral also lists the same sequence under 1 other name.